RNAcentral lists this transfer RNA (72 nucleotides) under Bos taurus (domestic cattle). It matches the Rfam family "tRNA". Rfam says of the family: Transfer RNA (tRNA) molecules are approximately 80 nucleotides in length. Their secondary structure includes four short double-helical elements and three loops (D, anti-codon, and T loops). The record is from Rfam by way of RNAcentral. Lineage: Eukaryota; Metazoa; Chordata; Mammalia; Artiodactyla; Bovidae. RNAcentral also lists the same sequence under 3 other names.
UCCCUGAUGGCUCAGUUGGUAAAGAAUCUACCUGCAAUGCAGGAGGCCCUGGUUCAAUUCCUGGGUUGGGAA